This 396-nucleotide ribosomal RNA is filed under the name uncultured bacterium. Its description in RNAcentral is "partial 16S ribosomal RNA". It matches the Rfam family "Bacterial small subunit ribosomal RNA", at positions 360 to 773 of the family's 1533-position model. The record is from RNAcentral.
AAUAUUGCACAAUGGAGGAAACUCUGAUGCAGCGACGCCGCGUGAACGAUGAAGGCCUUCGGGUCGUAAAGUUCUGUCCUUGGGGACGAUAAUGACGGUACCCAAGGAGGAAGCCCCGGCUAACUAUGUGCCAGCAGCCGCGGUAAUACAUAGGGGGCGAGCGUUAUCCGGAGUUAUUGGGCGUAAAGCGUGCGUAGGCGGCUUAUUAAGUCUGACGUGAAAUCCCACAGCUUAACUGUGGAGGGUCGUUGGAAACUGGUAGGCUUGAGUACAGUAGAGGUAAGUGGAAUUCCAAGUGGAGCGGUGGAAUGCGUAGAUAUUUGGAGGAACACCAGUGGCGAAGGCGGCUUACUGGGCUGGAACUGACGCUGAUGCACGAAAGCGUGGGGAGCAAAC